UGGGCAUAAGAUUAAAAGGUUUACCAAAGCAGAGAGCUCAACUCUGCUGGCUUAGACCAAAUAAUUUAAAAUUAACAGGAGAUAAAAAGGAGAAUUAAUACAUUUUCAUCUUAUCUCAGUUUCGAUUUAACUGAUUAAAGAAUGGGGGAUGGAAUGAUGAUAUCAAUUUGUCUACUUCUAACAGCCGCAACAAUGGCAACGACAGCUACACCGACAACCACGACUGCAGCUCCAACAACCACAACAGCCGCACCAACAACAACGACUGCAGAACCGACAACCACAACUGCAGCUCCG
This is a long non-coding RNA of Oreochromis niloticus (Nile tilapia), 297 nucleotides long. RefSeq lists it as uncharacterized. The record is from RefSeq and is a predicted model, not a curated record. Lineage: Eukaryota; Metazoa; Chordata; Actinopteri; Cichliformes; Cichlidae. The transcript has 3 exons.